This 226-nucleotide unclassified non-coding RNA is filed under the name Hevea brasiliensis (rubber tree). Lineage: Eukaryota; Viridiplantae; Streptophyta; Magnoliopsida; Malpighiales; Euphorbiaceae. The record is from RNAcentral.
GAGUUUCAUUUCUGUUUCUACAAUGUCUUCUCCUGCCGAAUUUUACAACUCUCUUCCACCUAUAAGUAAGGCUUAUGGAACUCUGUGUCUUUUGGCAACUACCGCCUUUCAACUUGGCUUGUACGAUCCCGGGCUUAUUGCCUUGGAUUACGGACUUGUAUUCAAGCAUUUUCAGGUGUGGAGGCUAUUCACAAACUUCUUCUUCCUAGGAAAAUUCUCUAUCAAU